Molecule: long non-coding RNA, 322 nt
Organism: Pelobates fuscus (common spadefoot toad)
Lineage: Eukaryota; Metazoa; Chordata; Amphibia; Anura; Pelobatidae
Exons: 3
Source: RefSeq, a predicted model, not a curated record
CAGCCUCAGCCUACAUGCAGCCGGCAUGAAUACCAAGUAAAUUCUGAAAGACCAAUAAGCCCCGAACAAACUGAUCCAGAGGGCAAUACACACAACAUGCAGCUAUCACAUCACGUUGUACUACCCCUCAUAGAAACAAGUUUCAAAAUUGUCUAAGACAUGGAGACAUGCACCUGAAGCUGUAUCGGGAAAAAAACGCUAACAUUCAUACCAACGAAAAUCAAGACCCAGAGACAGCAAAGCUAUGUUAUAAGUGUGAAGAAAAAAAAAAAAAAAAACAACAACAACGCUUAAUGAGGCAUCCAAAAAUUCGGCGUGUGUG